GGAGGUAGAGCUCACUGGUAGAGCACAUUCCUAGCAUGCAUGAGGUCUUGAGUUCAACUCCCAGUACCUUCA
This 72-nucleotide transfer RNA is filed under the name Camelus bactrianus (Bactrian camel). It matches the Rfam family "tRNA". Rfam says of the family: Transfer RNA (tRNA) molecules are approximately 80 nucleotides in length. Their secondary structure includes four short double-helical elements and three loops (D, anti-codon, and T loops). Further hydrogen bonds mediate the characteristic L-shaped molecular structure. tRNAs have two regions of fundamental functional importance: the anti-codon, which is responsible for specific mRNA codon recognition, and the 3' end, to which the tRNAs corresponding amino acid is attached (by aminoacyl-tRNA synthetases). tRNAs cope with the degeneracy of the genetic code in two manners: having more than one tRNA (with a specific anti-codon) for a particular amino acid; and 'wobble' base-pairing, i.e. permitting non-standard base-pairing at the 3rd anti-codon position. Lineage: Eukaryota; Metazoa; Chordata; Mammalia; Artiodactyla; Camelidae. RNAcentral also lists the same sequence under 2 other names. The record is from Rfam by way of RNAcentral.